Molecule: ribosomal RNA, 672 nt
Filed under: bacterium TP-SWA-4
Lineage: Bacteria
Description: bacterial SSU rRNA
Rfam family: Bacterial small subunit ribosomal RNA
Source: RNAcentral
UGCAGUCGAGCGGAAACGAAGAGGUGCUUGCACCUCUGGCGUCGAGCGGCGGACGGGUGAGUAAUGCUUGGGAAUAUGCCUUAUGGUGGGGGACAACAGUUGGAAACGACUGCUAAUACCGCAUAAUGUCUACGGACCAAAGUGGGGGACCUUCGGGCCUCACGCCAUAAGAUUAGCCCAAGUGGGAUUAGCUAGUUGGUGAGGUAAUGGCUCACCAAGGCGACGAUCCCUAGCUGGUUUGAGAGGAUGAUCAGCCACACUGGGACUGAGACACGGCCCAGACUCCUACGGGAGGCAGCAGUGGGGAAUAUUGCACAAUGGGCGCAAGCCUGAUGCAGCCAUGCCGCGUGUGUGAAGAAGGCCUUCGGGUUGUAAAGCACUUUCAGUAAGGAGGAAAGGUUAAGUGUUAAUAGCACUUAGCUGUGACGUUACUUACAGAAGAAGCACCGGCUAACUCCGUGCCAGCAGCCGCGGUAAUACGGAGGGUGCGAGCGUUAAUCGGAAUUACUGGGCGUAAAGCGUACGCAGGCGGUUUGUUAAGCGAGAUGUGAAAGCCCCGGGCUCAACCUGGGAACUGCAUUUCGAACUGGCAAACUAGAGUGUGAUAGAGGGUGGUAGAAUUUCAGGUGUAGCGGUGAAAUGCGUAGAGAUCUGAAGGAAUACCGAUGGCGA